This 664-nucleotide long non-coding RNA is filed under the name Glycine max (soybean). RNAcentral describes it as "long non-coding RNA (GMAX_LNC003857)". Lineage: Eukaryota; Viridiplantae; Streptophyta; Magnoliopsida; Fabales; Fabaceae. The record is from RNAcentral.
CUCUCAGCAACAUGCACAAUCCUCCCCCGCCAGGCGGUCCAGGCCCUCACCACCACCCCGGCCCACCGGCUCCGCCACUACAUGCUCAUCCAUCUCCUCCGCCUCCUGGGCCUCCACACCACCACCACGGCCCACCCGGCCCACCGCAUGCUUAUCCAACUCCUCCGCCUCCUGGGCCUCCACACCACCAUCCCGGCCCACCCGAACCAGGCUUUCAUCAACACCAUGGCCCACCCGGGCCACCGUAUGCUCAUCCAACUCCUCCGCCUCCUGGGCCACCGGGACCUCCCCCUCCAGGGCCUCCACACCACCAACACCACCGUUGCUGAUGUAAUGCAUAUGGAGCUUAUGAAUAACGAUCCUACAUAUAUAUGAUGUAAUGUUGAAUGCUUUUUAAUUUCUGAACACUUUAUAUAGCAAGGGCAAAAUUUGGUUGUGUCACUAAAUAAAAGCUUUGUAGUUCGUAGUUCCACUACUAUAGUACUACCUAUAUUUACCGUGUAUCACCGUCUGGUGCCCCUUGUGCUUUUUCUGGUGUGUAUCUUAUUAGAAUAAGAAAUAAAGGGAGGUCAUUUCUAUGUAUGUUGCACUGAUUAAAUCUAUUAUAAAGACAUUUUAAUGGUCAAAAAUUAUUUUUUUAACUUAAAGAUACAAAAUUGAAACG